This 72-nucleotide transfer RNA is filed under the name Ictidomys tridecemlineatus (thirteen-lined ground squirrel). RNAcentral describes it as "Spermophilus tridecemlineatus (thirteen-lined ground squirrel) tRNA". It matches the Rfam family "tRNA". From Rfam's summary of the family: Transfer RNA (tRNA) molecules are approximately 80 nucleotides in length. Their secondary structure includes four short double-helical elements and three loops (D, anti-codon, and T loops). The record is from Rfam by way of RNAcentral. Lineage: Eukaryota; Metazoa; Chordata; Mammalia; Rodentia; Sciuridae.
GGGGUUGUGGCUCAGUGGUAGAGCGCUCACCUAGCAUGUGUGAGGCCCUGAGUUCCAUCCUCAUCACCACUU